Molecule: ribosomal RNA, 105 nt
Filed under: Periophthalmus magnuspinnatus
Lineage: Eukaryota; Metazoa; Chordata; Actinopteri; Gobiiformes; Gobiidae
Source: RNAcentral
UACUGUAGCCAAACUUCCAUGUCAUCAGAUCUCAGAAGCUAAGCAAGUCCGGGCCUGGUUAGCUCUCGGAUGGGAGACCGCUGAGAAUUCCAGGUCCUACAGUGG